AACGAACGCUGGCGGCAUGCCUAACACAUGCAAGUCGAACGAGACCUUCGGGUCUAGUGGCGCACGGGUGCGUAACGCGUGGGAACCUGCCCUUAGGUUCGGAAUAACUCCCCGAAAGGGGUGCUAAUACCGGAUAAUGUCUUCGGACCAAAGAUUUAUCGCCUUUGGAUGGGCCCGCGUUGGAUUAGCUAGUUGGUAGGGUAAAAGCCUAUCAAGGCGACGAUCCAUAGCUGGUCUGAGAGGAUGAUCAGCCACACUGGGACUGAGACACGGCCCAGACUCCUACGGGAGGGAGGAGUGGGGAAUAUUGGAAAAUGGGCGAAAGCCUGAUCCAGCAAUGCCGGGUGAGUGAUGAAGGCCUUAGGGUUGUAAAGCUCUUUUACCCGGGAUGAUAAUGACAGUACCGGGAGAAUAAGCACCGGCUAACUCCGUG
RNAcentral lists this ribosomal RNA (433 nucleotides) under uncultured bacterium. RNAcentral describes it as "partial 16S ribosomal RNA". It matches the Rfam family "Bacterial small subunit ribosomal RNA", at positions 29 to 507 of the family's 1533-position model. The record is from RNAcentral.